UACAGAGGGGGCAAGCGUUUAUUCGGAAUUAUUGGGCGUAAAGGGCGCGUAGGCGGCCUGGCAAGUGGAAGGUGAAAUCCCUCGGCUUAACCGAGGAACUGCCCUCCAAACUGCUUGGCUUGAGUCCGGGAGAGGUGAGUGGAAUUCCCAGUGUAGCGGUGAAAUGCGUAGAUAUUGGGAGGAACACCAGUGGCGAAGGCGGCUCACUGGACCGGAACUGACGCUGAGGCGCGAAAGCGUGGGGAGCAAACGGG
RNAcentral lists this ribosomal RNA (254 nucleotides) under uncultured bacterium. Its description in RNAcentral is "partial 16S ribosomal RNA". It matches the Rfam family "Bacterial small subunit ribosomal RNA", at positions 524 to 776 of the family's 1533-position model. The record is from RNAcentral.